AGCAUGCUGUAACUUCAGCCUACCACCCGCAGAGCAAUGGGCAAGAUGAGCGCUCAAACCAGAACAUUAAGCGCCAUCUUGCAAAGUACUGUAAUGAGGAGCAGAAUGACUGGGACGUCUAUCUGCAACACGCUGUUUAUUCGAUAAACACCUCGAAGCAGCGUUCCACAAAGACACGCCCAAAGAUGUCGGCAUCGCUUCUGAUGUCCAGGAAUUGAGUGUAUUGUGCGACAUCUCGAUGGAAGCUGUAGGUGCUGAAUGUAGGUAUUUCUUCAUUUAUACAUCUCCACAUAUGUACUGUCAUGUCAAGUUCAAUGUAGAGUGUUGAAUGUGUUUUAUGUUCCUUUUUCCUAAAAGGUGCAGAUGUUGAUCACACAUUGGAAGUUGUCGUGCCACGUUUCGCGACUUAGACAGUCUGGCAGGCCCAGAGUUCAACUGGCUGACCGAUGAUAUUGUGAAUACGUGCGUUGCAGUGAUUGCUGCAGAUCACAAACAACGUUCCACUGACAAAGCCGUGUUCCACGCCCUUACCACAGACGCAUACACGUUGUGGUGUCGUGACUGG
Long non-coding RNA from Clupea harengus (Atlantic herring), 565 nucleotides. RefSeq lists it as uncharacterized. Lineage: Eukaryota; Metazoa; Chordata; Actinopteri; Clupeiformes; Clupeidae. The transcript is spliced from 4 exons. The record is from RefSeq and is a predicted model, not a curated record.